This is a small nucleolar RNA of Lutra lutra (Eurasian river otter), 81 nucleotides long. RefSeq annotates it as small nucleolar RNA SNORD116. The transcript has a single exon. Lineage: Eukaryota; Metazoa; Chordata; Mammalia; Carnivora; Mustelidae. The record is from RefSeq and is a predicted model, not a curated record.
UGAUUGAUCAUGACUCCCUCAUAUGCAUUCCUUGGAAAAUCUGAACAAAAUGAGUGAGAAUUUACUACAAUCAAGAAAACA